Molecule: ribosomal RNA, 482 nt
Filed under: uncultured bacterium
Lineage: Bacteria
Description: partial 16S ribosomal RNA
Rfam family: Bacterial small subunit ribosomal RNA
Source: RNAcentral
UAGGGAAUCUUCGGCAAUGGGGGCAACCCUGACCGAGCAACGCCGCGUGAGUGAAGAAGGUUUUCGGAUCGUAAAGCUCUGUUGUAAGUCAAGAACGGGUGUGAGAGUGGAAAGUUCACACUGUGACGGUAGCUUACCAGAAAGGGACGGCUAACUACGUGCCAGCAGCCGCGGUAAUACGUAGGUCCCGAGCGUUGUCCGGAUUUAUUGGGCGUAAAGCGAGCGCAGGCGGUUUGAUAAGUCUGAAGUUAAAGGCUGUGGCUCAACCAUAGUUCGCUUUGGAAACUGUCAAACUUGAGUGCAGAAGGGGAGAGUGGAAUUCCAUGUGUAGCGGUGAAAUGCGUAGAUAUAUGGAGGAACACCGGUGGCGAAAGCGGCUCUCUGGUCUGUAACUGACGCUGAGGCUCGAAAGCGUGGGGAGCGAACAGGAUUAGAUACCCUGGUAGUCCACGCCGUAAACGAUGAGUGCUAGGUGUUGGAUC